Molecule: ribosomal RNA, 410 nt
Filed under: uncultured Nitrososphaerota archaeon
Lineage: Archaea; Thermoproteati; Nitrososphaerota
Description: bacterial SSU rRNA
Rfam family: Archaeal small subunit ribosomal RNA
Source: RNAcentral
UCUGGUGUCAGCCGCCGCGGUAAAACCAGCACCUCAAGUGGUCAGGAUGAUUAUUGGGCCUAAAGCAUCCGUAGCCGGCUCUAUAAGUUUUCGGUUAAAUCUGUACGCUUAACGUACAGGCUGCCGGGAAUACUGCAGAGCUAGGGUGUGGGAGAGGCAGACGGUACUCGGUAGGAAGGGGUAAAAUCCUUUGAUCUAUUGAUGACCACCUGUGGCGAAGGCGGCCUACCAGAACACGUCCGACGGUGAGGGAUGAAAGCUGGGGGAGCAAACCGGAUUAGAUACCCGGGUAGUCCCAGCUGUAAACUAUGCAAACUCAGUGAUGCAUUGGCUUGUGGCCAAUGCAGUGUUGCAGGGAAGCCGUUAAGUUUGCCGCCUGGGAAGUACGUACGCAAGUAUGAAACUUAAAG